RNAcentral lists this ribosomal RNA (1191 nucleotides) under Corynebacterium efficiens. RNAcentral's name for it is "bacterial SSU rRNA". It matches the Rfam family "Bacterial small subunit ribosomal RNA", at positions 173 to 1379 of the family's 1533-position model. Lineage: Bacteria; Bacillati; Actinomycetota; Actinomycetes; Mycobacteriales; Corynebacteriaceae. The record is from RNAcentral.
AUACGACCCCCUGGUAGGUCAGGGGGUGGAAAGAUUUUAUCGGUGUGGGAUGACUGCGGCCUAUCAGCUUGUUGGUGGGGUAAUGGCCUACCAAGGCGUCGACGGGUAGCCGGCCUGAGAGGGUGAUCGGCCACAUUGGGACUGAGACACGGCCCAGACUCCUACGGGAGGCAGCAGUGGGGAAUAUUGCACAAUGGGCGCAAGCCUGAUGCAGCGACGCCGCGUGGGGGAUGACGGCCUUCGGGUUGUAAACUCCUUUCGACAGGGACGAAGCUUUUGUGACGGUACCUGUAGAAGAAGCACCGGCUAACUACGUGCCAGCAGCCGCGGUAAUACGUAGGGUGCGAGCGUUGUCCGGAAUUACUGGGCGUAAAGAGCUCGUAGGUGGUUUGUCGCGUCGUCUGUGAAAUCCCGGGGCUUAACUUCGGGCGUGCAGGCGAUACGGGCAUAACUUGAGUGCUGUAGGGGAGACUGGAAUUCCUGGUGUAGCGGUGAAAUGCGCAGAUAUCAGGAGGAACACCAAUGGCGAAGGCAGGUCUCUGGGCAGUAACUGACGCUGAGGAGCGAAAGCAUGGGUAGCGAACAGGAUUAGAUACCCUGGUAGUCCAUGCCGUAAACGGUGGNCGCUAGGUGUAGGGGACUUCCACGUCUUCUGUGCCGCAGCUAACGCAUUAAGCGCCCCGCCUGGGGAGUACGGCCGCAAGGCUAAAACUCAAAGGAAUUGACGGGGGCCCGCACAAGCGGCGGAGCAUGUGGAUUAAUUCGAUGCAACGCGAAGAACCUUACCUGGGCUUGACAUACACUAGAUCGCUGCAGAGAUGUAGCUUCCCUUGUGGCUGGUGUACAGGUGGUGCAUGGUUGUCGUCAGCUCGUGUCGUGAGAUGUUGGGUUAAGUCCCGCAACGAGCGCAACCCUUGUCUUAUGUUGCCAUCACGUGAUGGUGGGCACUCAUGAGAGACUGCCGGGGUUAACUCGGAGGAAGGUGGGGAUGACGUCAAAUCAUCAUGCCCCUUAUGUCCGAGGGCUUCACACAUGCUACAAUGGUCGGUACAGCGAGUUGCCACACCGUGAGGUGGAGCUAAUCUCUCAAAGCCGGCCUCAGUUCGGAUUGGGGUCUGCAACUCGACCCCAUGAAGUCGGAGUCGCUAGUAAUCGCAGAUCAGCAACGCUGCGGUGAAUACGUUCCCGGGC